This 253-nucleotide ribosomal RNA is filed under the name uncultured bacterium. RNAcentral's name for it is "partial 16S ribosomal RNA". It matches the Rfam family "Bacterial small subunit ribosomal RNA", at positions 524 to 776 of the family's 1533-position model. The record is from RNAcentral.
UACGUAGGGUGCGAGCGUUAAUCGGAAUUACUGGGCGUAAAGCGUGCGCAGGCGGUUUUGUAAGACAGAUGUGAAAUCCCCGGGCUUAACCUGGGAAUAGCAUUUGUGACUGUAGGACUAGAGUGUGUCAGAGGGGGGUGGAAUUCCACGUGUAGCAGUGAAAUGCGUAGAUAUGUGGAGGAACACCAAUGGCGAAGGCAGCCCCCUGGGAUAACACUGACGCUCAUGCACGAAAGCGUGGGGAGCAAACAGG